CCUCCCCAUACCUAAAUCAUGCAUUGUCCUCAAUGUAUGCAAAAGAGAGAAUUGAAAUGAGAGAGUAAAGAGGAAAAAUACCUGAAUAGGAGAUGAAGGGAUUUUUAUUAACUACUCCUAAAGUUCGAGUGAGGGAAAGACAACUUAGCUAAAAGAAUCUCUAUUUUUGGAAUUUUCUAAUUUUUCAAUUUUUAGGUUUUUUCAUUUUUUUAAGAGUUACACUAAAGCCCUCCCCAUACCUAAAUCAUGCAUUGUCCUCAAUGUAUGCAAAAGAGAGAAUUGAAAUGAGAGAGUAAAGAGGAAAAAUACCUGAAUAGGAGAUGAAGGGAUUUUUAUUAACGAACGAAACACUAACACAACUCACACACUCACACAUUUCCUUCCCCAUACCUGAACUUCACGAGGGAAGGUUCUAAGAAGGAACCACGUCAGCCAAUGCCGGAAGGAAAUAUGGGAGGAAGCUUCGAGAAAGAAUCAAAAUGUUUUCGAAAAUUUUUAUGCACAAAGACUUUCUCAAGCAUGUGACAAUCGUUGAACCCUAUAGGACAAGUAUCACUAAUGUUCUCCCUAAACCAACUUAAUGCUUCUUUAUUAUCAAGCAAUUUAGAGACUAUGAAAUCUUGGUUCAGGGACAAAUCACUAGGAACAAUGUACGAAAUGACGUCAUCCUU
RNAcentral lists this long non-coding RNA (671 nucleotides) under Daucus carota (carrot). RNAcentral's name for it is "long non-coding RNA (DCAR_LNC001071)". Lineage: Eukaryota; Viridiplantae; Streptophyta; Magnoliopsida; Apiales; Apiaceae. The record is from RNAcentral.